This 690-nucleotide ribosomal RNA is filed under the name uncultured beta proteobacterium. RNAcentral describes it as "bacterial SSU rRNA". It matches the Rfam family "Bacterial small subunit ribosomal RNA", at positions 791 to 1482 of the family's 1533-position model. Lineage: Bacteria; Pseudomonadati; Pseudomonadota; Betaproteobacteria. The record is from RNAcentral.
UAGUCCACGCCCUAAACUAUGUCAACUGGUUGUCGGGGAAGAAAUUCCUUGGUAACGAAGCUAACGCGUGAAGUUGACCGCCUGGGGAGUACGGCCGCAAGGUUAAAACUCAAAGGAAUUGACGGGGACCCGCACAAGCGGUGGAUUAUGUGGAUUAAUUCGAUGCAACGCGAAAAACCUUACCUACCCUUGACAUGUACGGAACCCUUCAGAGAUGGAGGGGUGCCCGAAAGGGAGCCGUAACACAGAUGCUGCAUGGCUGUCGUCAGCUCGUGUCGUGAGAUGUUGGGUUAAGUCCCGCAACGAGCGCAACCCUUGCCAUUAGUUGCUACAUUCAGUUGGGCACUCUAAUGGGACUGCCGGUGACAAACCGGAGGAAGGUGGGGAUGACGUCAAGUCCUCAUGGCCCUUAUGGGUAGGGCUUCACACGUAAUACAAUGGCCGGUACAGAGGGCUGCCAACCCGCGAGGGGGCGCAAAUCCCAGAAAGCCGGUCGUAGUCCGGAUUGCAGUCUGCAACUCGACUGCAUGAAGCCGGAAUCGCUAGUAAUCGCGGAUCAGCACGUCGCGGUGAAUACGUUCCCGGGUCUUGUACACACCGCCCGUCACACCAUGGGAGUGGGUUUCACCAGAAGUAGUUAGCCUAACCGCAAGGAGGGCGACUACCACGGUGAGAUUCAUGACUGGGGUG